CUACGUGCCAGCAGCCGCGGUAAUACGUAGGGUGCGAGCGUUAAUCGGAAUUACUGGGCGUAAAGCGAGCGCAGACGGUUACUUAAGCAGGAUGUGAAAUCCCCGGGCUCAACCUGGGAACUGCGUUCUGAACUGGGUGACUAGAGUGUGUCAGAGGGAGGUAGAAUUCCACGUGUAGCAGUGAAAUGCGUAGAGAUGUGGAGGAAUACCGAUGGCGAAGGCAGCCUCCUGGGAUAACACUGACGUUCAUGCUCGAAAGCGUGGGUAGCAAACAGGAUUAGAUACCCUGGUAGUCCACGCCCUAAACGAUGUCAAUUAGCUGUUGGGCAACUUGAUUGCUUAGUAGCGUAGCUAACGCGUGAAAUUGACCGCCUGGGGAGUACGGUCGCAAGAUUAAAACUCAAAGGAAUUGACGGGGACCCGCAACAAGCGGUGGAUGAUGUGGAUUAAUUCGAUGCAACGCGAAGAACCUUACCKGUCUUGACAU
This 487-nucleotide ribosomal RNA is filed under the name uncultured bacterium. RNAcentral describes it as "bacterial SSU rRNA". It matches the Rfam family "Bacterial small subunit ribosomal RNA", at positions 501 to 987 of the family's 1533-position model. The record is from RNAcentral.